GGGAAUAAAUGCAGGCUGCCUGAGUCAGCAGUGGCAACCUCCUCAGGUACUCUUCCAGGCUGUGGAAUCUUUGUUGUUUUGCUCUUAGCAAUAAAUCUUGCUGGUGCUCACUCUUUGGGUCCGUGCCGCCUUUAUGAGCUGUAACACUCACUGGGAAGGUCUGCAGCGAGACCACAAACCGGGAGGGAGGAACAACUCCAGACGUGCCGCCUUUAAGAGCUGUAACACUCCCUGAGAAGGUCUGCAGCUUCACUCCUGAAGCCAGUGAGACCACAAACCCACCGGAAGGAACAAACAACUCCAGACAUGCUGCCUUUGAGAGCUGUAACGCUCACUGCGAAGGUCUGCAGCUUCAGUCCUGAAGUCAGCGAGACCACUAACCCACCACAAGGAAGAAACUCCAGACACAUCUGAGCAUCUGAAGGAACAAACUCCGGACACACCAUGUUUAAGAACUGUAACACUCACCAUGAGGGUUGGCGGCUUCAUUCUGGACGUCAGCGAGACCAAGAACCCACCAAUUCCUGACACAGUAUGAAAUGGUUCCUUUGGGAGAGGAAAGGUCCUGUGAGGGUACAGUGAGAAGAUGGCCAUCUACCAGCCAGGAGGAAAGGCCUAACAAGAAACCAACUCUGCUGGCACCUUGAUCGUGAACUCCCGCCCUCUAGAACUGUGAGAAAAUAAACGUCUGUUUAAGCCACCUGGUCUGUGGUAUUUUGUUAUGGAAGCCCGAGCAGACCAAUAUGCCUACUAAGCUCUGUGACCUAGAAGGCUCCUCUUCUGUCUUUUUCCUCCUGGAAUGUGAGAAAAUCUGGCAAAGUGGGAGCCAGAGAGGCUAGGCCACUAAAAGCCUGUGUGCGAAAUGAUCUGUACACAGCGAAUUGACUCCACCUUUCACACAUUACUACUUAAAUCAUGAAAGGAGCAUUGCAAGGAGGAAGUAUUUUAACAGCAGAAGAAAACAUGCCUCCAAUGUCAAGAAAUUUCAGCACAAUUUUGUGCAGCCAGGACCAGAUGAAGGGAAAGGCCAAGCAAUAUGUUUUGAGGACUGAAUAUCUAUGCUUCCCCAAAUUCAUAUGUUGAAAUCCUAACUUCCGAUGUGAAGAUAUUUGUAGGUGGGGCUUUAAGAGAUAAUUAGGUCACAAGGGCAGAGCCCCCAUGAGUGGGAUUAGUGCUCUUAGAAAAGGGACCCAAGAGGGCUGUCUCUCUUGCCCUCUUUCCGCCAUAUGAGAAUCCAAUGAGAUGGCAUCAUCUGCAAAUCAGGAAGAGGAUGCUCACCAGACACCAGAUCUGCCAGCACCUUGAUCUUGGACUCCUCAGCCUCUAGAACUGUAAGAAAUAACGUUUGUUGUUUAAGCAACCCAGUCUAUGGCAACUUGUUAUAGCAGCCUGAACUAAGAUAAUCUAUAAGGUAAGGCAAAUAAGAAAAAAAUCCAAACCCAAAAUGACUUUAAGCGACUCCUAGAGGAACCCUGCCAACAUCACUAAGUUCAGAGAGGUAAAAUCAGGCAACAAGCAGAAUUAUCUUCGGGGGUCCAUAAAAAUUUCCAGGUCUGGUCGCAACUGUCAUAUCUUG
This 1576-nucleotide long non-coding RNA is filed under the name Homo sapiens (human). RNAcentral describes it as "HSALNT0223500". Lineage: Eukaryota; Metazoa; Chordata; Mammalia; Primates; Hominidae. The record is from RNAcentral.